GAUGAAGAACGUAGCGAAAUGCGAUAUGUAAUGUGAAUUGCAGAAUUCAGUGAAUCAUCGAAUCUUUGAACGCACAUGGCGCCUUCCAGUAUCCUGGGAGGCAUGCCUGUCCGAGCGUCGUUUCAACCCUCGAGCCCCCGUGGCCCGGCGUUGGGGAUCUGCCCAGGCAGUCCCCGAAAACCAGUGGCGGACCCGUUACAGGCCCUUCCCUUGCGUAGUAGCAUUCGCCUCGCAUCGGGAGCCGGCGGGCUUCCAGCCUCUAAACCCCCAUCAAGUCCACCCGGCGGCACCAAGGUUGACCUCGGAUCAGGUAGGAAUACCCGCUGAACUUAAGCAUAUCAUAAGCGGAGGA
This 352-nucleotide unclassified non-coding RNA is filed under the name soil metagenome. RNAcentral's name for it is "partial contains 5.8S ribosomal RNA, internal transcribed spacer 2, and large subunit ribosomal RNA". The stretch from base 1 to 120 matches the Rfam family "5.8S ribosomal RNA", at positions 35 to 154 of the family's 154-position model. The record is from RNAcentral.